Prosopis cineraria is the source of this 1342-nucleotide RNA transcript. RefSeq lists it as uncharacterized. NCBI's taxonomy places the organism in Eukaryota, Viridiplantae, Streptophyta, Magnoliopsida, Fabales, Fabaceae. The transcript is spliced from 4 exons. The record is from RefSeq and is a predicted model, not a curated record.
AAGUAUUUCAUCAUCAUUCACAUUGUCGACGAGUCCGGUCAAAAUCUCUGCGCCUUCCCCUCCUCCUCCUAUUAAGCUUUCCCCUCUCCGUCUGCCUUCCCUGUUCUUCUCCCUCCUUCCUCCUCUGCUCGCACUCACGUCUCUCUUUAGCUCUGAAUCACCAGGAAUCUCAACAAACCCCCGAUGGGUUCUUCCAAGGAAGAGAGAUUCACCAGGAUAUUAAGGGGUCUCAAGACUCUGUUCUUCUUGAUCACCAUGCUCAUAUCGCUCUUGCUUUUCUCGGCUCCUCUUCUUCUUGUUCUCGCCGACGCGCUUCUUCCUUCGGCUCUGCUCUCUGCGCUCUCACCUUCUUCUCUCUCCCUAGAAACUCUUUCUUCUCACUUCCGUGACUACGAUUUCCGAUACUCCCUCAUCGAUAUUCCCCUCGUGUCCAUCAUAAGAUCCCUCGUCAUCUUCUGUGUUUAUAGUUUCUGCGAUGGGCCAAGGCUUUCGCGGGGGCCAUAUUUGGGGAUCACGACGAUGUGCUCUGUCUCGUCUCUGAUUUUUGUGUCGCUGAAAGCUGUGUAUGUUUUCAGUCUCUCAGAUUCGUAUGGAGGAGGAAGCCAUAUGCGAACCUCCGAAAUAGCUCUGUUCGUGUGCUCGUGUGCUUUGGCUAUUGGGCAUAUUGCCGUGGCUUACAAAACAAGUUGCAGAGAAAGACGAAAGCUCCUGGUGUACAAAAUUGACGUUGAAGCUGUUUCAGCUUGCAAGAGGUACCCAAGAUCCUUAAAGAAGAACGAUUCAACUGAUCCCACCCAAGCCCACAGAAUAUUAAGAGUAAAUAUUAGUUGAAUAUAUACAGAGAUAGAGAUUUUGAACUCCUAGCUUCAAAAUUGUCACGUUGUAUUCUUCAGUGCUUCAAGGGAUGAUCAGGUUUGUCCGAAGGAUAGCUGGGUCAUCACCUUGACACUGAAGGGUAAAGGCUAACACUAGAGUUACAGGAUAUAGUCACAGAGAAUUGUGCAGAGUCGCCAAGAUACAUCAAAUUGCAGAUUGGUGAUUGAGUAGAUGUAUAUACUAUAGAGCCACUCCAUAGUAGGCCCUCAUACAAGUACAUAUUUUUUGGAUUUUCAUCAGUUUCGUCUCGUGUAUAUUAUAUGUCAAAGUGAAAUGGGCCAUGCUCUCAGUAUCAACCUGACAAGUUGUAAUUUAUUAUCAUGAAUGGUUGAAAUUAGGAUUUCAGUGUCCAAGUGGGGUGAUGAAGAGGACCCCAAUCUGUUGAAAGUAUAAUCUUGAAAUAUCAGAUUCCACCUAACUGGUUUCAAUCUUGAAAUAUAAAUUUAAUCUUGCCAGUGACCCAUUA